GCCGCGAUGGUCUAGUGGUAUGAUUCUCGCUUAGGGCUCACCCUGAGUUGCAGCAUUUGGUGGCCGUCGGCCCCAUCUACUCAAUAAUUUGCGAGAGGUCCCGGGUUCAAUCCCCGGUUGCGGCC
Non-coding RNA from Magnaporthiopsis poae ATCC 64411, 125 nucleotides. The record is from the annotation of a GenBank genome assembly. NCBI's taxonomy places the organism in Eukaryota, Fungi, Ascomycota, Sordariomycetes, Magnaporthales, Magnaporthaceae.